CUCAUCUUCGAAAUUCAGACCUAUUCAGUUUGAGAUGAUAAUAAGAACCAUGGUUGUUAUCGAUAGAAGUCAAGAGACCAUGAAGAUGCUGCCCAUAUGGGAGAGUACUUUUUAUAGAAUACGGAGGCCCUUUUCUAAAAUUGUCCAGGUAUCUCUUCGUUUCUCUCUUUCUUGCCUAAUAUGGCAUUUUAAUAAUUCUUAUAACACACUGAGUUCCAUUCAGAUAGUUGUCUGUUUGGUGAAAGGAUGGAGUUGGCUUUUCAUGGUAUAUAUCAACUUCUGAAGUUUAUGUUCAAUGGGAAAGUGAAUUGUAAUAUUCCUUCCUCUACCUCACUGCUGCAGACUACCCUUCUCCAGUCCACGACUGAUGUUCUAAGAUGCAGCAGAUGGAUAGCGCUCAGUUUGGUUGUCGAAGAAUCACAUGCGGAAUAUGUUGGCACAGGGGCAUGGUAAGGGGGAUGACGAUACUGUCAGCAAGUAGGCUAUGGAAGAUUUAGGCAAAUGUGGGUGAGCAAGAUUUCCAUGGCGGCGUGAUGCACCCUUUGCUCAAAACAUCCGUGCGGUCGAUGCAGUGGAGCAACAGAUGCACCAAUCUAGAACGAUGGGCAUGGGUGAGACGGCAAUUAUGCUUUAUUGAUUUGAGACAACAAAAUAUGAAGCUAGCAUACUUUGGUAUUCAGCUUUGCUGCGGAGGUACUUAGAUUGGUGCAUCUGUUUCAGUUGUCCAAUAUAUUUUAUUUCAGACUCUGAAAUCAUAGACGAGGAUGUGAAGGCCCUGAAGGUGUGUUUCAAGUAAUAUUGUGUGGAUGAAUUGUUCACUGAAAAAGUGUAUGAACUCAACACAUCCAGCUUGAGGUUGAUGCCUAUUGUUUCUAUUUCAAACGUACUGAAGAUGAUGCACAUGUUCUCCUUGAAUAAUUC
Molecule: non-coding RNA, 921 nt
Organism: Lolium perenne
Lineage: Eukaryota; Viridiplantae; Streptophyta; Magnoliopsida; Poales; Poaceae
Source: RefSeq, a predicted model, not a curated record